AAGGGUAUAGCUUAGUGGUCGAGUGCCUGCUUAGCACGCACAAGGUCCUGGGUUCAAUCCCCAGUACCUCCA
This 72-nucleotide transfer RNA is filed under the name Camelus bactrianus (Bactrian camel). It matches the Rfam family "tRNA". From Rfam's summary of the family: Transfer RNA (tRNA) molecules are approximately 80 nucleotides in length. Lineage: Eukaryota; Metazoa; Chordata; Mammalia; Artiodactyla; Camelidae. The record is from Rfam by way of RNAcentral. RNAcentral also lists the same sequence under 2 other names.